AACAAGAAAGUAAGCUUUAUAAUUUCUAAUACCGCAUAGAUGAUGAGAACUUAGAAAUGCAUCAAAAUCAGGCAUUUCAAAAGUCUGAGUAUGUAGACCACAUAAAUGCACCAAAUUGGAACAACUCAUUCUGAGUAUUAGACAAUGUAAAAAGGUUUUUUCGUGCAAUAAGGAAAAUUUCACCUUCAUUAUCUUGAAUUUUCCUCAUCACACAGGAGCUUAACACCUAAGCUCACAGGAAAACUGAUCAAACGGAUAAAUUUACAGUAUUUCUCUUUAUUCAGCCAAUUGAACUCUAACUUGAUCUCAGCCCAUUCAAAAACAACUGAAAUGUCAAAGAUAUAAGGCUGAUCCCAAAAGUUUCCCAUGCAUACCUUGUUGGAGAUUAGAAUCGAGGAGUAAUCAUAUCUAACUCCCUGAGUUCCACGUUGUUGUCAGCUAACUUAAACGAAGUUCAUUCAAACUUCCGAUAGCUGAAUCUAUAUCAUCACCGCAUCCUUCAAGUACUUUCUCAAGAACUACACACAAACAGUUAACAAAGUCCCUAGCUAAAUUAACAAACGGAAAUGAAAUGAUCACAUACUAUUAUGCCAUACGAAUUUGGAAUAUGUGGAAAAACAACAUCAUAACGAAGAUAUAAACCAAUUAAACCAAGUAUCAUAAGCAAAAAAUCACAUUCAACAAAUAGUAAAUUAAACAGAAGUAGGAAUUUUUUCAAUUUUCGAAGAAAAAACAAAACCCAAUUCCUGAUAACAAUAUCGUUGCGUUUCACAACAGUCAUUCCAUCAAAGCUUCCAAUCUGUCAAUGCAUCGAUCAAUCAAUGAACAAUUAUAUAAAACAUAUACAUGUGUAGAUUAAGAAUGGAACCUGCCUGUCCAUGCAAGGGAAAAAAGCAAUGAGUUUCCCGAUCAACAGUGAAGAAGAUUGAUUGGAGGAGGCAGAGGAGACAAAAACGGCGUCGCAUGACCUUGGAAGAGAGGAAUGAACAGGAGAGGAAGAGGAACAACGGAUUUGCUUGGAAACGGGCGGGCUUAUCAUUGUUAAUUCUUGGAAAAAGGAUCUGUUCCUGCACAUUAUGGCAGACAAUUUAUAUUUCUCCUUGUCUCCUCUUCUUCUCUACCCUCACCAUUUCUCUCUUCCCCUAUCGUAUCGAUUGACCUACCAAAAUUCAAUAAAAGGAGAAGAAAGAAAAUUUUCUCCUUCGAUACUUUGUUCAGAUUGAACCGCUUUAUCUGAAAAUUUAAGAAAUUUUAUAAAUUUGAGGACUGAAAAUGAUGGAAUUAGGGUUUUUCCCGUACAUAAUUCAUUUCAUAAAUCAGUCUGCGAAUUAGAAGUAGAGAAGGAGAGAGGGUUUCCAUUUCCUCUACUAUACUUUCCUCUACUCGGCUUCCAUAAUUGUCUAUGCCCGAU
This 1411-nucleotide long non-coding RNA is filed under the name Manihot esculenta (cassava). Its description in RNAcentral is "long non-coding RNA (MESC_LNC008440)". Lineage: Eukaryota; Viridiplantae; Streptophyta; Magnoliopsida; Malpighiales; Euphorbiaceae. The record is from RNAcentral.